GACAUGUUGAGCUUAUGUGACCGUGUGAUGUCCGGCGUCCGUUGUGUGUGCGUGUGCGUCCGUCAACAAUUUGUUUGUGUAGACAGUAGAGGGCACAGUUUUCAUCCAAUCUUUAUGAAAUUUGGUCAGAAUGUUUAUCUUGAUGAAAUCUGGGUUGGGAUUUUAUUUUGGUAAUCUGGGGUCAAAAACUAGGUCACUAGGUCAAAAACUAGGUCAAAUAAUAGAAAAACCUUGUGUAGACAGUAGAGGUCACAGUUUUCAUCCAAUCUUUAUGAAAUUUGGUCAGAAUGUUUAUCUUGAUAAAAUCUGGGUUGGGAUUGUAUUUGGGUCAUCUGGGGUCAAAAACUAGGUCACUAGGUCAAAAACUAGGUCAAAUAGUAGAAAAACCUUGUGUAAACAGCAGAGGUCACAGUUUUCAUCCAAUCUUUAUGAAAUUUGGUCAGAAUGUUUAUCUUGAUAAAAUCUGGGUUGGGAUUGUAUUUGGGUCAUCUGGGGUCAAAAACUAGGUCACUAGGUAAAAAACUAGGUCAAAUAAUAGAAAAACCUUGUGUAGACAAUAGAGGUCGCAGUUUUCAUCCAAUCUUUAUGAAAUUUGGUCAGAAUGUUUAUCUUGAUGAAAUCUGGGUUGGGAUUGUAUUUGGGUCAUCUGAGGUCAUAAACUAGGUCACUAGGUCAAAUAAUAGAAAAACCAUUAAAAAUUUGUUUGUGUAGACAGUAGAGGUCACAGUUUUCAUCCAAUCUUUAUGAAAUUUGGUCAGAAUGUUUAUCUUGAUGAAAUCUGGGAUGGGAUUGUAUUUGGGUCAUCUGGGGUCAAAAACUAGGUCACUAGGUCAAAAACUAGGUCAAAUAAUAGAAAAACCUUGUGUAGACAGUAGAGGUCACAGUUUUCAUCCAAUCUUUAUGAAAUUUGGUCAGAAUGUUUAUCUUGAUAAAAUCUGGGUUGGGAUUGUAUUUGGGUCAUCUGGGGUCAAAAACUAGGUCACUAGGUCAAAAACUAGGUCAAAUAGUAGAAAAACCUUGUGUAAACAGCAGAGGUCACAGUUUUCAUCCAAUCUUUAUGAAAUUUGGUCAGAAUGUUUAUCUUGAUAAAAUCUGGGUUGGGAUUGUAUUUGGGUCAUCUGGGGUCAAAAACUAGGUCACUAGGUAAAAAACUAGGUCACUAGGUCAAAUAAUAGAAAAACCUUGUAUAGACAAUAGAGGUCACAGUUUUCAUUCAUUCUUUAUGAAAUUUGGUCAGAAUGUUUAUCUUGAUGAAAUCUGGGUUGGGAUUGUAUUUGGGUCAUCUGGGGUCAAACACUAGGUCACUAGGUCAAAUAAUAGAAAAACCUUGUAUAGACAAUAGAGGUCACAGUUUUCAUUCAAUCUUUAUAAAAUUUGAUCAGAAUGUUUAUCUUGAUGAAAUCUGGGUUAGGAUUGUAUUUGGGUCACCUGGGGUCAAAAACUAGGUCACUAGGUCAAAUAAUAGAAAACCUUGUGUAGACAAUAGAGGUUACAGUUUUCAUCUAAUCUUUAUGAAAUUUGGUCAGAAUGUUUAUCUUGAUUAAAUCUGGGUUGGGAUUGUAUUUGGUUAGUUAGGUGAGCGAUUUAGGGCCAUCAUGGCCCUCUUGUU
Long non-coding RNA from Dreissena polymorpha, 1609 nucleotides. RefSeq lists it as uncharacterized. Lineage: Eukaryota; Metazoa; Mollusca; Bivalvia; Myida; Dreissenidae. The record is from RefSeq and is a predicted model, not a curated record. The transcript has 3 exons.